RNAcentral lists this ribosomal RNA (430 nucleotides) under Pseudomonadota bacterium. Its description in RNAcentral is "Proteobacteria bacterium partial 16S ribosomal RNA". It matches the Rfam family "Bacterial small subunit ribosomal RNA", at positions 355 to 776 of the family's 1533-position model. Lineage: Bacteria; Pseudomonadati; Pseudomonadota. The record is from RNAcentral.
UGGGGAAUAUUGGACAAUGGGGGGAACCCUGAUCCAGCCAUGCCGCGUGUGUGAAGAAGGCCUUAUGGUUGUAAAGCACUUUAAGCGAGGAGGAGGGUACUGGUAUUAAUACUACCAGCUACUGGACGUUACUCGCAGAAUAAGCACCGGCUAACUCUGUGCCAGCAGCCGCGGUAAUACAGAGGGUGCGAGCGUUAAUCGGAUUUACUGGGCGUAAAGCGUGCGUAGGCGGCUAAUUGAGUUGGAUGUGAAAUCCCCGAGCUUAACUUGGGGAUUGCAUUCGAGAAUGGGUAGGUAGAGUGUGGGAGAGGAUGGUAGAAUUCCAGGUGUAGCGGUGAAAUGCGUAGAGAUCUGGAGGAAUACCGAUGGCGAAAGCAGCCAUCUGGCCUAACACUGACGCUGAGGUACGAAAGCAUGGGGAGCAAACAGG